Molecule: ribosomal RNA, 482 nt
Filed under: uncultured bacterium
Lineage: Bacteria
Description: bacterial SSU rRNA
Rfam family: Bacterial small subunit ribosomal RNA
Source: RNAcentral
ACGAACGCUGGCGGCGUGCCUAACACAUGCAAGUCGAACGAGAAAGUCCUUCGGGAUGAGUAAAGUGGCGCACGGGUGAGUAAUACAUAGGAACGUGUCUUUAGGAGGGGAAUAACCGCGGGAAACCGCGGCUAAUACCGCAUAAACUGGUAACAGCAAAAGUGGCCUCUACUUGUAAGCUACUGCCUAAAGAGCGGCCUAUGUCCCAUUAGCUAGUUGGUAAGGUAACGGCUUACCAAGGCAACGAUGGGUAGCUGGUCUGAGAGGAUGAUCAGCCACACUGGAACUGAGACACGGUCCAGACUCCUACGGGAGGCAGCAGUGGGGAAUAUUGCACAAUGGGCGAAAGCCUGAUGCAGCAACGCCGCGUGAGUGAAGAAGGCCUUCGGGUUGUAAAGCUCUUUCGGAUGAGAAGAAGGGUAGUUAUUUAAACAACUUAACUAUUUGACGGUAUCAUAAGAAGAAGCACCGGCUAACUCCGU